This is a non-coding RNA of Aphanomyces astaci, 72 nucleotides long. Lineage: Eukaryota; Oomycota; Saprolegniomycetes; Saprolegniales; Verrucalvaceae. The record is from Rfam.
GGGGGAAUAGCUCAGGUGGUAGAGCAUCGGUUUCUUUCUCAAAGGUCAUGGGUUCGAUCCCCAGCUUCCCCG